UACGUAGGGUGCGAGCGUUGUCCGGAAUUAUUGGGCGUAAAGAGCUUGUAGGCGGUCUGUCGCGUCUGCUGUGAAAAUCCGGGGCUCAACCCCGGACUUGCAGUGGGUACGGGCAGACUAGAGUGUGGUAGGGGAGACUGGAAUUCCUGGUGUAGCGGUGAAAUGCGCAGAUGUCAGGAGGAACACCGAUGGCGAAGGCAGGUCUCUGGGCCACUACUGACGCUGAGAAGCGAAAGCAUGGGGAGCGAACAGG
This 253-nucleotide ribosomal RNA is filed under the name uncultured bacterium. Its description in RNAcentral is "partial 16S ribosomal RNA". It matches the Rfam family "Bacterial small subunit ribosomal RNA", at positions 524 to 776 of the family's 1533-position model. The record is from RNAcentral.